UACGUAGGGGGCAAGCGUUGUCCGGAAUCAUUGGGCGUAAAGCGCGUGUAGGCGGUUCUGUAAGUCUGCUGUGAAAGUCCAGGGCUCAACCCUGGGAUGCCGGUGGAUACUGCAGGGCUAGAGUACGGAAGAGGCGAGUGGAAUUCCCGGUGUAGCGGUGAAAUGCGCAGAUAUCGGGAGGAACACCUAUUGCGAAGGCAGCUCGCUGGGACGUUACUGACGCUGAGGCGCGAAAGCGUGGGGAGCGAACAGG
RNAcentral lists this ribosomal RNA (253 nucleotides) under uncultured bacterium. RNAcentral describes it as "partial 16S ribosomal RNA". It matches the Rfam family "Bacterial small subunit ribosomal RNA", at positions 524 to 776 of the family's 1533-position model. The record is from RNAcentral.